ACAAAAUGUUAAUUUUAGACAUACUAAUUAUCUGAUUUAUUUCCAGCCCAUCUUACCCCUAAACUCUGGUGUGAAUAGCAGAGUCUGGAUCAGGGAGUUGAGGUGUAAAGGAAGAAAAACCAUCCCCGUCCUCCUCAAACAGAUCUCCAAACAUGGCCGCGGCUGCCUUGUAAAGCUUACUAUUGCUCCCGAUUAACAAUCAAUGGACUCACCCUGGAAUACGACGAUUUUACAGGACUAAACAUCGCUUUCUAAACCAAAAGAAGAACUGAAUGCUCUUUUUGUCUAAGUGUCGUUCCUCUGGAUGAAUCACGGGCGUCGUGAGUAAAUCUCAGUCCUUAAAACGCAACGUGGAAAUCUGAGAGUGGAUCCUCAGCUUGAAGACUUUGGAGAGAGGUGCUUUGGCACUGGAGUACAUCAGCGAUGAAAGGAAGUCAUAUGGGCUUGGAAAGACAUGACGUGAAUUGCUUCCAUGCCUGGGCCUUAAAGGUGCUGAUGUUCUGGUAGAGCUGGAAUUGGCCAUGGUUCCAGCGGUAG
Long non-coding RNA from Sinocyclocheilus rhinocerous, 537 nucleotides. RefSeq lists it as uncharacterized. NCBI's taxonomy places the organism in Eukaryota, Metazoa, Chordata, Actinopteri, Cypriniformes, Cyprinidae. The record is from RefSeq and is a predicted model, not a curated record. The transcript has 7 exons.